CAAUUUAUAUCUUAUGUAAUAAAGUUUUUCAUUUACAUUGAAAAAAAGCUUGUGUAAAUCAAGUUAAAUUGA
This 72-nucleotide transfer RNA is filed under the name Rhipidia chenwenyoungi. RNAcentral's name for it is "tRNA-Val". Lineage: Eukaryota; Metazoa; Arthropoda; Insecta; Diptera; Limoniidae. The record is from RNAcentral.